GCUAUGCCCGAUCUCGUCUGAUCUCGAAAGCUAAGCAGGUUUGGCCCUGGUUAGUACUUGGAUGAGAGACCGCCUAGGAAUACCAGGCGCUUUAAGCUU
RNAcentral lists this ribosomal RNA (99 nucleotides) under Cyprinus carpio haematopterus x Megalobrama amblycephala. Lineage: Eukaryota; Metazoa; Chordata; Actinopteri; Cypriniformes. The record is from RNAcentral.